GAAUCAGGUAGGAAUACCCGCUGAACUUAAGCAUAUCAAUAGCCGGGAGGAAACAAUUCCGAGUUAU
Molecule: ribosomal RNA, 67 nt
Filed under: Fusarium sp. KC-2010ba
Lineage: Eukaryota; Fungi; Ascomycota; Sordariomycetes; Hypocreales; Nectriaceae
Description: partial 28S ribosomal RNA
Source: RNAcentral